Molecule: ribosomal RNA, 253 nt
Filed under: uncultured bacterium
Lineage: Bacteria
Description: partial 16S ribosomal RNA
Rfam family: Bacterial small subunit ribosomal RNA
Source: RNAcentral
UACGGAGGGUGCAAGCGUUGUCCGGAAUCAUUGGGCGUAAAGGGCGUGUAGGCGGCUCAUGAAGGCUGUGGUGAAAUCCCCGGGCUCAACCUGGGAAUGGCAAUGGAUACUGGGCAGCUAGAGUGUGGCAGAGGAUGGUGGAAUUCCCGGUGUAGCGGUGAAAUGCGUAGAGAUCGGGAGGAACAUCAGUGGCGAAGGCGGCCAUCUGGGGCAACACUGACGCUGAAGCACGAAAGCGUGGGGAGCAAACAGG